Molecule: long non-coding RNA, 396 nt
Organism: Brassica napus (rape)
Lineage: Eukaryota; Viridiplantae; Streptophyta; Magnoliopsida; Brassicales; Brassicaceae
Exons: 3
Source: RefSeq, a predicted model, not a curated record
CAGAUGAUCUUUAUAAUCCCCAAAAAGCUUAAAGCGGGCAAUGGAGUGGACUUUGAAACAGCAAAUGGGCGACACAAUUUCAAAAAUAAGAAAUUUUCAGAUCCGGCUACCGUCACUAAAUGGAAAGAUGAAAGAAUGGUAAGAUUUUAUUGCUGACUUCAUUACUAUUGCCGAUUGUUUCUGUUCCCUCAGAAAGCUUUUUAUACUGAAGAAACACCGUUUCAAGUACUCCAUGGUCAUACUGGAGAUGUCUUGGACUUGGCAUGGUCAGACUCAAAUUUGCUUCUUUCAGCUUCUAAAGACAAGACAGUUCGGCUAUGGAGAGUUGGUUGUGAUGAGUGUCUUCAUAUCUUCCAUCAUAACAACUACAGUAACUUUUUGAACUCUUAACUCAGU